This 1557-nucleotide long non-coding RNA is filed under the name Prunus persica (peach). RNAcentral describes it as "long non-coding RNA (PPER_LNC001582)". The record is from RNAcentral. Lineage: Eukaryota; Viridiplantae; Streptophyta; Magnoliopsida; Rosales; Rosaceae.
GCAGGGUUUCUUUCUGGGAGCCAUAGGAAUUAUCUUCUGUGCCUCAUCCUUGCUCUCUGGUAUUGUAAUUGCUGUUCUGCUCCCAGUUACAGAGAUCCUAGCUGUUAUUUUUUACCACGAGAAGUUUCAAGCAGAAAAGGGGGUUGCUCUUGCACUCUCUCUGUGGGGUUUUGUCUCAUAUUUCUAUGGGGAGAGAAAAUACAGCAAGCAAAAAGAAAGUGAAAUGAAAAAUGAAAGAGAAAAAGAAGUAGAAAUAGGAAAGAAAGAUACCCCAGAAACAGCAGAAGUUUCUCAACUCGAUCCCUAGGCCAUGAAAGCGCAAGCUGUUGUUUCAUGUCUUCUUCUCUGUUGGAGUUUCCGAUCCGAAGGAGGGAAAGGCUGCAUCUUCUGUCAUUUGUCAUAUAUUCUUAACAUUUCGGAUGUUAGAACUUACUUUUCCUCUCAAAUAUUAUUAGUAUGAUUAAGGUCAAAUAGUAAACCAAAAUUGACAAACUGAUCUAUUUUAAUUGGCAGUUUAUGUGAAUUUGUACGUGAAUGAAAAGGUUCAAUUGAGAAUACACAUUGUCAUAUAUGCUACUGGUGCACCUAAUCACACCAAAUUGUUUGAAAGGCAUUCACAUGAACAAAAAUUCUGAAUUCUCUUGACCACAAAGCAAUCAGGCAUGAGAAGUAAAACGAGGAGCCGAGGAGCUCACCAUGUGUUCGAUACAGUGCCUCGCUCAGCGAGGAAAGCCUACGAGGCCAAUCAACUUGAUCAACGGUCCAACGACGACCAAACGCCUCCGAAGCUGCAUUUCAGUAGAUAUAAAUUCCAAGCGUAAAGCGAAAUUGAUGAAGAAAACAGAAUGAGUCGUUGAGCUUCGUCUUCCUCACCGGACCAAGUAAGCACAAUUUUCGCAUUUUAGAGGUGUUUGGCUACUGUGAAGGAUGAAGCUCCUCAAAUUGUUGUUGUGAUUGGAAGCUCUGGAAAUUCGAGAGAAGAAGAAUCGAGAAACGAAUAAUCGACGCGACUACAACACGUUGCGUGGUGGGGUUAAGUAGAUGAAAACGGUGUCGUUCGGCAACAUAUUUACUUACUGACUUUCAGAUAUUCUGGUCCCGACACGUACGGACGCCCCUGAUCUUUCUUCAACCAACGAAGAGGAUCGGUGAGCUCUGCAGUUUGGACUUCCAUGGCGACUAGCUGUGGGCUCUUCACCGGUCUGAGACGGUGCUCCCCACACUUCGCGAACUCAGUCGGGUGGAGGAGGCAGCUGUCGUCGCUCUGCUCUUCGUCUUCCCCAGUUGAAAGGCGCAAGGACGACGAGCUCAAGAGCAAGAUUUUUGGGCUAAAAAAUCCGGGUCGGAGCGCAACCACUGUGAUUCAGAAAUGGGUCGACCGCGGCAACAAGGUCUCUGUUCUGGAACUCCGUCGCAUUUCCAUUCAACUCUUGAAAUCUAAGCGCUUCGACCAUGCCCUCCAGGUUUCAAUUCUUCGUUUGUUUGCACAAAAUAUGCUUAAAGCUUGAAGAUUAGGAUAUUUUGUAGAGUUUUUCAAUCGAAAUUUCUUCCUUUUCA